Molecule: ribosomal RNA, 253 nt
Filed under: uncultured bacterium
Lineage: Bacteria
Description: partial 16S ribosomal RNA
Rfam family: Bacterial small subunit ribosomal RNA
Source: RNAcentral
GACAGAGGGUGCAAACGUUGUUCGGAAUUACUGGGCGUAAAGCGCGUGUAGGCUGCUUCAUAAGUCGGAUGUGAAAGCCCUGGGCUCAACCUAGGAAGUGCAUUCGAAACUGCGAAGCUUGAGUCCUGGAGAGGAAGGCGGAAUUCUCGGUGUAGAGGUGAAAUUCGUAGAUAUCGAGAGGAACACCGGUGGCGAAGGCGGCCUUCUGGACAGUGACUGACGCUGAGACGCGAAAGCUAGGGGAGCAAACAGG